Molecule: ribosomal RNA, 577 nt
Filed under: uncultured bacterium
Lineage: Bacteria
Description: bacterial SSU rRNA
Rfam family: Bacterial small subunit ribosomal RNA
Source: RNAcentral
ACGGGUGAGUAACGCGUAGGAAUCUGCCCUAAAGAGGGGGACAACCCGAGGAAACUCGGGCUAAUACCGCAUAAACUCGAAAGAGUAAAGCUGGGGCAACCUGGCACUUUAGGAGGAGCCUGCGUCCGAUUAGCUAGUUGGUAAGGUAAAGGCUUACCAAGGCGAUGAUCGGUAGCUGGUCUGAGAGGAUGAUCAGCCACACUGGGACUGAGACACGGCCCAGACUCCUACGGGAGGCAGCAGUGGGGAAUAUUGGACAAUGGGGGCAACCCUGAUCCAGCAAUGCCGCGUGUGUGAAGAAGGCCUUCGGGUUGUAAAGCACUUUAGUUGGGGAAGAAGGUUAUUUGUUUAAGAGAUGAGUAACUUGACGGUACCCAAAGAAUAAGCACCGGCUAACUCUGUGCCAGCAGCCGCGGUAAUACAGAGGGUGCAAGCGUUAAUCGGAGUUACUGGGCGUAAAGGGCGCGUAGGCGGUUUUUUAAGUUGGAUGUGAAAUCCCUGGGCUUAACCUAGGAACUGCAUUCAAUACUGGAAGACUAGAGUACUGUAGAGGGUAGUGGAAUUUCCGGUGUAGCGG